This 418-nucleotide ribosomal RNA is filed under the name uncultured bacterium. RNAcentral's name for it is "bacterial SSU rRNA". It matches the Rfam family "Bacterial small subunit ribosomal RNA", at positions 917 to 1333 of the family's 1533-position model. The record is from RNAcentral.
GGACCCGCACAAGUAGUGGAGCAUGUGGUUUAAUUCGAAGAUACGCGCAGAACCUUACCAACACUUGACAUGUUUGUCGCGACUUUAAGAGAUUAAAGUCUUCGGUUCGGCCGGACAAAACACAGGUGCUGCAUGGCUGUCGUCAGCUCGUGUCGUGAGAUGUUGGGUUAAGUCCCGCAACGAGCGCAACCCUCACUUUUAGUUGCCAUCAUUUAGUUGGGCACUCUGAAAGAACUGCCAGUGAUAAGCUGGAGGAAGGUGGGGAUGACGUCAAGUCCUCAUGGCCCUUACGUGUUGGGCUACACACGUGCUACAAUGGCAUUUACAAUAGGAAGCAAGAUGGCGACAUCAAGCAAAUCCUUAAAAGAUACCUCAGUUCGGAUUGCACUCUGCAACUCGAGUGCAUGAAGCUGGAAUU